GGUCUCGCCCAGGGGAGCCUCGCCGCUGGCGCGCUUUGCGCGUGGCAAGAGGCUGAGAGGCCGAAUAGCUUUUUUAAAAAGCGGCUCGGCGACCCUUCGAACCUGAUCCAGUUCGCGCUGGCGUAGGGAGGCCGCAUGUUCCUGAU
This 146-nucleotide non-coding RNA is filed under the name Methylosinus sp. Its description in RNAcentral is "TPP sequence". It matches the Rfam family "TPP riboswitch aptamer (THI element)". From Rfam's summary of the family: Vitamin B(1) in its active form thiamin pyrophosphate (TPP) is an essential coenzyme that is synthesised by coupling of pyrimidine and thiazole moieties in bacteria. The previously detected thiamin-regulatory element, thi box was extended, resulting in a new, highly conserved RNA secondary structure, the THI element, which is widely distributed in eubacteria and also occurs in some archaea. Analysis of operon structures identified a large number of new candidate thiamin-regulated genes, mostly transporters, in various prokaryotic organisms. Lineage: Bacteria; Pseudomonadati; Pseudomonadota; Alphaproteobacteria; Hyphomicrobiales; Methylocystaceae. The record is from RNAcentral.